Long non-coding RNA from Egretta garzetta (little egret), 567 nucleotides. RefSeq lists it as uncharacterized. The transcript is spliced from 3 exons. The record is from RefSeq and is a predicted model, not a curated record. Lineage: Eukaryota; Metazoa; Chordata; Aves; Pelecaniformes; Ardeidae.
CAAAACUGACUUUUUGUCCACCUGGUGAAACCCAUAAACUCUUGAUGUUCACAGAGAGGCUGUAGCAUCCCGAAUGACAGUCAGCAAAUCAACCCAGACUCCACUUGAGACCCAAAUCACGAAAAGGACUGAAUCCAUGGGCUCCUAAGAGUUACUUUUCAGCCAGAUCAGUUCCCUGAGGUAAUCCUGAGUAGCUCCACGGUGGCUGGGCCAGGACACCGCUGGAAUGGUAACAGGCAGCUCAUUUCCUCUGCACUUCAAGCGAACCUGUUCUCUUCUGUGGAAACUUCUUUGGAAAUGUACAUCUUGACAUCUGUAGAGAGUGUGUUUCAGCUGUGUAUUUUGCAUUCCACUUGUGCAGAUAUUAAGGGAAUGCCCUUUGCGAUAGCAAAUACACACAUUUUACUGUGGCAACUUUUUGAUAAAAGACUGAGAAGUGAGACCGUCUUUCAUUUUGUGGCUAAUCUUUCCAAGAUUUUUCCCCACACACUUGCAAAAUUGUGACCUUGAUGUUUCUUUGCCUACUAGCUGGCGUGAUUUGCCAUUGCUAUUACAGCUUUGAUCAAG